RNAcentral lists this long non-coding RNA (1313 nucleotides) under Takifugu rubripes (torafugu). Its description in RNAcentral is "lncRNA (ENSTRUG00000032192.1)". The record is from RNAcentral. Lineage: Eukaryota; Metazoa; Chordata; Actinopteri; Tetraodontiformes; Tetraodontidae.
CUGAUGUGCUUCAGGGACUGAAACGGUUUUCUUGCCCCUUUUAAAGGGGUCCUGUCUAAAAUCUGCGAGAUCGGAGAUGACGGAGCUGUGAGCAGCAAAGCCUGGACGCUGGAGACUCAUGAAAGAUGAAUGAUGUCUAAGCAUUAAUUCAACGGCAAUAUAAACUCCCAUCUAUCUUUAUAUGUGUCAAAGGUCUGGCUCAGAUUGUUGAGUGUGCUGACGCCAGAUCUAUCAAGGUUCCAGCCAAGUUCUAAAAAGUCAGAACAUUCACUAAAAUAAUUACUGGGCAAGAAACUGGAGCACUGGGAAGAUUUCAUGAAAAUAGAGUCCAAGUUGUAACAAGCUCAGACUGAAAAAGGCAAAUAACUCCAGCGGACAGAGAAACAAGCACAACCAAAGAAAAACAACUUUCUCUGCUUGUGUCUUGUCCAUUAAGACUAAACAAAUCCCCCAGGUCCUCUGUCCUCUGUCUGUCUGCCCCCCCCCCCCUUUCUCUGGCUCUGGCUCAACACCACAAGAUGAUCGAUAAGAAAAUAUUAUUCUGCACUUUUAUGAGUCUUCCUGGUGUCACUGCAGAUUCCCUGAGUCUUCAGCUGCCCUGCAGACACUUCCAGAAACCUCCAGUCUCUCAUGAUGACUAAGCUUCUUGGACCCGAGCUGGUUCUUGGACCCGAGCUGGUUCUUGGACCCGAGCUCGUCCGGUUCUUCUGCACCAGUCCAAGAACCAGUGCUGCUGAUAAUAGAUGGCGAACUGCUGAAGGAGACCAGAGUCAGGAAUGUGUGUCCGACAGUGCAGAGCUGAGACGUGAAAGGAACGGAGAGAAGAGGAGAGGGAAACGGAGCCGAUCACGUUCGAAGAGAGACGCGCGGAUCUGUUACAGCGAGGGAGGCGUGAGGGCGGGAGGCGUUCGAACGACCGAAGAGACGCCAUUCACAGGUCCAGAGGAGGAAGCCCGGCACAGACGGUGACGUCAGGGCUGCUCCUGCACGGAGGCUCUCUGACUUGCCAAACGAUUUGAGAAAAGACGAAUAAAACUGCGCAAAUCUACAUGUUUUAUCUGUAAAGGUCAAAGGUGACGCAAGCAACCGAAGGUUUCGGCGUGAGACAGGAUGUGCAAAAUGUGGCAGAAGCAGUCGCACGAGUGAGAACGUUAAACACGGGUUUUUAAAAAAUAAAUAAAAGGAGCAUUUAUUCUAAUAUUUAUUGUUGUAGCGCGUUCUUUCAGCAGUGGGAGGACAUCUGGACACAUCUGGGACGGCUGUCGGUGACGUUUACCUUUCAUUCUCCUGUGCUUGUCUUUUGGGGGGGGGGG